Oncorhynchus keta (chum salmon) is the source of this 2779-nucleotide long non-coding RNA. RefSeq lists it as uncharacterized. The transcript is spliced from 3 exons. Lineage: Eukaryota; Metazoa; Chordata; Actinopteri; Salmoniformes; Salmonidae. The record is from RefSeq and is a predicted model, not a curated record.
GUAACCCUACGUUUCUUUAGCUGAGCUUCAUAGCUACAGCUUUAGUGUCUAUAAUGUAGAAGAUACUUUUUUUUAUUUAAAAAAAGUAUAACAGUUAGGAAAGAUACCGGUGACUACAGCUGCAUUUGUUUUGUUGUUGAGGGGAGAGCUACGGAAGGCAGAGGAGAGCAAUAGCGAGGUGACUCAGGACGGGUCAUGCUCUGACACAGAGGAGCUGGUAGACGAAACCCAUAACAGUGAUGGGGAGGAGAACGGCACACCAGACGAGUGUGAAGAUGAUGACAUGGAGGAAUCCCGUAACAGAAUCACCCACCACAACAGGACCAAGCGGCGUGGUGACAGGCAGCGGCAGCAGGAGCAGCACAAAGAGGAAUGGACAUGGGAGGACGAAUUGGACGGUAAAGGACCCUGGUCACAGCCAGGAGAAUAUCGCCGCCCGUCUUGGGAGGGGGCACAGGGAGAGUGUGGCAGAGUCAGGAGUCAGACCUGAGCCAACUCCCCCUGUUUAUCGUAAGGAGCCAAGGAGGAAACCAGAACCAGAGCCGGUGUUGGAGGUGAGCGAAGCAGAGACCGUGAAGGAGUGAAUGGGGAAAUUGGAGGAGAGAGUUAUGAGGAAGUUGCUGUGUUGGUGCAUGAGGCACGGCAUUCGCCCAACGGAGCGUGUCGGGGAUUUGAUGGCACCUGGGUCAGCUAUCCAUACUCGUCCUGAGGUGCGUGCUAGUCGUCUGGUGAAGAUUGUGCCAGCCUCACGCACCAGGCUUCCUGUGCACCUCCCUAGCCUUGCACGUCCUGUGCCAGCUCAGUGCUACAGUGCUCCUAGCUGUGCUAACCGUGGCGGGCGUGGUACUGGUCAGGCACCGUGUUAUGCGGUGGAACGCACGAUGUCCCCAGUACGCGUGCUUAGCCCGGUACGCUACAUCUCCACUCCCCACAUCUGCCGGGCUAGGGUGAAGAUCCAGCCAGGGCGGUUGGUGCCAGCCGUGCUCUCAAGAUCUCUAGUACGCUUUCACGGUCCGGUCCAUCCAGUGCCACCUCCACACACCAGCCCUCCGGUGGCAGCUCCCCGCACCAGGCUUCCUGUGCGUGUCCUCUGCCCAGUGCCAGCACCACGCACCAGGCCUACAGUGCGCUUCACCUGUCAAAUCAAAUCAAAUGUAUUUAUAUAGCCCUUCGUACAUCAGCUGAUAUCUCAAAGUGCUGUACAGAAACCCAGCCUGAAACCCCAAACAGCAAGCAAUGCAGGUGUAGAAGCACGGUGGCUAGGAAAAACUCCCUAGAAAGGCCAAAACCUAGGAAGAAACCUAGAGAGGAACCAGGCUAUGUGGGGUGGCCAGUCCUCUUCUGGCUGUGCCGGGUGGAGAUUAUAAAAGAACAUGGCCAAGAUGUUCAAAUGUUCAUAAAUGACCAGCAUGGUCGAAUAAUAAUAGGGCAGAAUAGUUUAAACUGGAGCAGCAGCACGGUCAGGUGGACUGGGGACAGCAAGGAGUCAUGUCAGGUAGUCUUGGGGCAUGGUCCUAGGGCUCAGGUCCUCCGAGAGAGAGAAAGAAAGAGAGGAGAGAAUUAGAGAACGCACACUUAGAUUCACACAGGACACCGAAUACGACAGGAGAAGUACUCCAGAUAUAACAAACUGACCCUAGCCCCCCGACACAUAAACUACUGCAGCAUAAAUACUGGAGGCUGAGACAGGAGGGGUCAGGAGACACUGUGGCCCCAUCCGAGGACACCCCCGGACAGGGCCAAACAGGAAGGAUAUAACCCCACCCACUUUGCCAAAGCACAGCCCCCACACCACUAGAGGGAUAUCUUCAACCACCAACUUACCAUCCUGAGACAAGGCUGAGUAUAGCCCACAAAGAUCUCCGCCAUGGCACAACCCAAGGGGGGGGCGCCAACCCAGACAGGAUGACCACAUCAGUGAAUCAACCCACUCAGGUGAUGCACCCCUUCCAGGGACGGCAUGAGAGAGCCCCAGUAAGCCAGUGACUCAGCCCCUGUAAUAGGGUUAGAGGCAGAGAAUCCCAGUGGAAAGAGGGGAACCGGCCAGGCAGAGACAGCAAGGGCGGUUCGUUGCUCCAGAGCCUUUCCGUUCACCUUCACACUCCUGGGCCAGACUACACUCAAUCAUAUGACCCACUGAAGAGAUGAGUCUUCAGUAAAGAAGGUUGAGACCAAGUUUGCGUCUCUGACAUGGGUAGGCAGACCGUUCCAUAAAAAUUGAGCUCUAUAGGAGAAAGCCCUGCCUCCAGCUGUUUGCUUAGAAAUUCUAGGGACAGCGCUGCCAGAGCCUUUCUAUUCUCCAGCGCCGCCUGAGCUGCUCAUCUGCCCAGCGCCGCCAGAGUCGUCUGUCAUGAGCCGCCAGAGUCUCCCGUCUGUCAUGAGCCGCCAGAGUCUCCCGUCUGUCAUGAGCCGCCAGAGUCUCUCCCGUCUGUCAUGAGCCGCCAGAGUCUCCCGUCUGUCAUGAGCCGCCAGAGUCUCUCGUCUGUCAUGAGCCGCCAGUCAGUCACAUUUCUUGUUUUGUAGUUUAUUCAUGUAUAGUUUCAUUAUUAAAGAACCAUGAAUUAUAACCACGCUGCAUUUUGGUCCGCCUCUCCUUCCCAGGAGGAAUCCCGUUACAGAUCUCUUCAAGCAAAAAAUAAAAACAAGUUGGAAGAUGGCGAUUAGUGAAGCUUCUACAGUGGUGUAUAUAAUUCCUGUUCUCUUUAAAAUGAUAAUGAUUAUUUCAUCCUAAUAAUAAUUAUUAUUUUUUACUGAUCAGUAGCUUGCUGCUUGCUGUGCC